UGAGGAAUAUUGGUCAAUGGGCGCGAGCCUGAACCAGCCAAGUAGCGUGCAGGAUGACGGCCCUAUGGGUUGUAAACUGCUUUUGUAUGGGGAUAAAGUCAAUCACGUGUGAUUGUUUGCAGGUACCAUACGAAUAAGGACCGGCUAAUUCCGUGCCAGCAGCCGCGGUAAUACGGAAGGUCCGGGCGUUAUCCGGAUUUAUUGGGUUUAAAGGGAGCGUAGGCCGGAGAUUAAGUGUGUUGUGAAAUGUAGACGCCCAACGUCUGACUUGCAGCGCAUACUGGUUUCCUUGAGUACGCACAACGUUGGCGGAAUUCGUCGUGUAGCGGUGAAAUGCUUAGAUAUGACGAAGAACUCCGAUUGCGAAGGCAGCUGACGGGAGCGCAACUGACGCUUAAGCUCGAAGGUGCGGGUAUCGAACAGGAUUAGAUACCCUGGUAGUCCGCACAGUAAACGAUGGAUGCCCGCUGUUGGUACCUGGUAUCAGCGGCUAAGCGAAAGCAUUAAGCAUCCCACCUGGGGAGUACGCCGGCAACGGUG
Molecule: ribosomal RNA, 540 nt
Filed under: uncultured bacterium
Lineage: Bacteria
Description: bacterial SSU rRNA
Rfam family: Bacterial small subunit ribosomal RNA
Source: RNAcentral